UAGGAUUGCCAGAUUUAACUAAUAAAAAUACAAGUUGCCUAGUUACAUUUGAAUUUCCAAUAAACAACAAACAAUAUUUUUAGUGUAACUAUGUCCCAAACAUUACUUAUGCUAAACAAAUUAUUCAUUGUUUAUCAGAAAUUCAAAUUUGACUGAAUGUCCUGUGUUUUAUCUGGCAGCCCUACAUGAAAAGCUAAAUUCCCACACCCUGUCUUCCUGCGUUCAGCCCCACAAUUCUUCUUAGAGAUUUUUAUGAACUAUGCAAUAUCAUCUUUACAAUAUAAAUAAGCAACCCAAAUCUCCCAACUCUGCUUACUACAGGGUUUUUUUACACACAUCUAAACACUUUGCUUUCUUCUAAAAUUCUUUUAUUAUAUUUUAGCCAUCAGAGUUACAUUCUAAUUUAUACUAAUUUAGCCUCUUAGCCACUUAACAGAAUUGGAUCUAAGAGGGAAAAUCCAGGUGACUCUUUCCAUCUGAAUUCCCUGUAUAUUUUCUUUCUGUCUCAAUUCUGCAGUAGUCUUAGGUAAGAGGAGAUUAUCUCCCGGCACGGUAGGUGGUAGAGCCAUUCUAGAAACCCCGCAGAGACUGGGGCUGUAAAAUGCCACUUCCCUUCUGAGGAAGUGGGGGAGCCACACUGUCCAGCACUGGCACCUGCACUGGCCAAUUCAGCAGCCAUUAAGUAUUAGAACAGACUAUGCUUUCUACAACAAGACUAUUUUAAAAGUUAGAAACACCGUCUUAUCUGAAAGCGGGGAUUUUCAGAUUUCAAUUUCUUAACACUGGUAAAUAUCUCAUAAGCCAAAAAUGCAGGCACCAACUUCAGCUGCACAUAUCUUUGUUGCAAAGGCACAGUUCCCGUUCCAUUAAAUCACAUUCCCUUGCAGCUUCAAAGUGGAUGAGAACUCUACACGACACAGCUUUUUGUUACAUGUAAUUAGUUUUCCCUGUGGUCCUAGAAAGUAAGAUAAUGUCACAAGUGUCGUCCCUUUUCUGCCGUCCAAACCUGAAAAUCACAAGCUAAACACCAUCGUGUGUAAACUUAUACAAAACAUUUGCUUAGUACUCAUGUCAUGGCUCUGCUUUCUGAAAAACACAAAAGGGGCCGUCAAAAAUUACUGAGAAGUGGUGACUGGAAUGUGAGAAUUUACAGUGGGAAAAAAAAAAGAGGACAUACUAAAGGCAGUUGGAGUGGAAAUGUAAUGUGACAUAAUAAUAUAGACGACAAGCACGGGGAAAAUGGCUCAGUCCGGAGUGGAAAAUCAAUUUGCCAGGGCCAUGAUAAGACUGGAACAUCACUUCCAUAUUUCCUGAGAAUCCAUUCUGAUACCCACAGUAGUGUCUGCAGCCAGAGCCUGAGAACCGUGGAUGGGUAUGCCUGAUGGCAGUUUACAACGGAAAAGACAGCUAUCACCCAGCAAACCAUCAGAGGAGGAACAGAGCGAAGGAUGAUCUUUUAUGUUUUGAAAUGGACCGAAGAGACAUUUAAUGUGUCAAGAGCUUCACUUCGAGAAGACCAAUAUUUCUAUUUCAUCCACUUGUUUCCAGGAUGGCUUCUAGUAAAUAUUGCUUGCAGAUGCUGAGUGAACGUGCGUGCUGCACCAGAUCAUGAGGACGUGGAAGAAGUGCCGCACGGACAACUGGCUCUGAUGUUCUUGUGAGUUCAGUCUUCGCUCUUCCGUCCUCCCUCUUGGUUGCACAGCCCUGGAGAUGCCUGACAGGGAGCACCUCUCUCCUCCUCUGACCUCCUACACCUCAAACGCCUACCUUAACUUCUUGAACAAAAGGCUCAGGUUGCUUAUGGCCUCGGUGCCUUAGCAUGUCCUGAUAACCUCAACCUGGACCACCUUCCUGCACCGUGUCUGCUUGCUUGGCUCAACUAGCGAGCUCCUUCUGGAAUCCUUCUUUGACCCGCCUCCCUUCUCCCUCAGUUGCAUCUGGUUUGGUCUCCCCUGGGCUCCCAGACCAUUCGGUAAUUGCCCCUAUUACAGCACGCCCAUAGAUAGGUGUGUGUAGUCAUCUUUAAUGUACUAGUGCAUAAACUUGAAAGCAAAGAUCUUUUUUUUUAAUCUUUGUAUUCCCAGCACCUCACAGCAGGGUGCUUAAAUGAGUGGCUCUGACAUCUCAAACUGGUGACCCACAGGCCUAAUCCAGCCCGCCAGACUGUUUUGUUUGGCUCUUUUUAAAAUUUAUUUUUAGAAGUUUCAGGUCACAUUUUCAAAUCUGGUUUUACAUACAAAGCAAGGUCUUUGACUUCUCUUGAAGAAUAAGAUAUGGCCACCCUGCGCCUAUUUCUACAUGGUAGCAGGUACCUGGUGCAGACAUGGGCCACUUGAGAUGGGACACGAGCUCUCCACUUCAUCACAGCCUGGCCACUCCCUAGCGCCUCCCCAUUGAGGCUAAGUAUGAGGUGUCAUUUAUCCUGCGUGUGCGCUGACAUUUUUCUUGGAGUGACAUAUUUCUCAGUACCAAAGGAGAGAAGAUGACUAAAAUAUCUUUCAAGAAUAAUGGGAGAGAGCUCCUUUCUUGGCAGGAAUGAAGAAUUGCCUCUGUGUUUAUUAGGCACAUGAAAUGUGUCUGUCUCCCCCUGCUUUGCUUGUUCACGUUAUCUUCCUGGAAGAUAGAGCUAUUUGAGGUUUUGGCCCUUUGAGUAGAGACUCAAAAGCUGUUUGAGGAAGGGAGGACGGAAGGAAGGAAAGAAAAACAAGUUCAGCAAAUGGUUAAGAUACCAAACUUUUUAAUCUGACUACUUAAACGACUUCACAUAUUACCACCUUUAGCCAAUCCUUCCAUUUCACCCUGAACAUCUCUUGUAACGUGUGCUGCGUUUUGGUUUGGUGUGUACAUGAUACUCAGGUUCCUAUAGCAACUACCUUAUCAAAAUCCAGUGAGAUAAGGUCAUAAAUAUGCCCUUUGUCCUUAGUGACUCCACUGGCAUAGAAUGCACACAACAAAGUUCACUUCAUGCAGGCAGUUUUCCAGAGGAUUAUCCACACCUUAUAGAUGAUAGACAAUGUUCCAUGGGUAAAACUGAGAACUAUUUUGUAAAACUUAGAAACAAGAGGAGAUUCUUAGUCCUGUUGCUAUCAAUGCUUACAUAUAAAAAUGAGCGUCUUGGGCUGGCCUGGUGGCGCAGCGGUAAAGUUUGCACCUUUGGCUUUGGCGACCCGGGGUUCACCGGUUCGGAUCCUGGGUGCAGACCUACACACUGCCUGUCAAGCCAUGCUGUGGCAGGCAUCCCACAUAUAAAGUAGAGGAAGAUGGGCAUGGAUGUUAGCUCAGGGCCAGUCUUCCUCAGCAAAAAGAAGAGAAUUGGUGGCAGAUAUUAGCUCAAGGCUAAACUCCCUCAAAAAAGAUGAACGUCUAAAUAAAUACUAUCUUUCCUCUUUAAAUACCAGUGAGAUAAGAAAUACUGAUGCACGUACAGAGUAAGGAUAUUGAUGUUCUGUAUCACAUAAAAUCAACCAAGAUAAUAAAAACAUGUUAAA
This is a long non-coding RNA of Equus caballus (horse), 3488 nucleotides long. RefSeq lists it as uncharacterized. NCBI's taxonomy places the organism in Eukaryota, Metazoa, Chordata, Mammalia, Perissodactyla, Equidae. The record is from RefSeq and is a predicted model, not a curated record.